Molecule: ribosomal RNA, 241 nt
Filed under: uncultured bacterium
Lineage: Bacteria
Description: partial 16S ribosomal RNA
Rfam family: Bacterial small subunit ribosomal RNA
Source: RNAcentral
GCAAGUCGACCGCUGUGCUUGCACAGAGGGGCGAACGGGUGAGUAACACGUAUCUAACCUACCUUAUAGUCUGGAAUAACUGCGGGAAACUGCAGCUAAUGCCGGAUAUAAGUCCAUUUGAAUCACUUGAGUACCAAAGGCCCGUUUGGGUCGCUAUUAGAUGGGGAUGCGGCGUAUUAGGUAGUUGGUGAGGUAAUGGCUCACCAAGACGAUGAUACGUAGCCGGCCUGAGAGGGUGAAC